GACGAACGCUGGCGGCGUGCUUAACACAUGCAAGUCGAACGGAAAGGCCCCUUUGGGGGUCCUCGAGUGGCGAACGGGUGAGUAACACGUGAGUAACCUGCCCUUGACUUCGGGAUAACUUCAGGAAACUGGGGCUAAUACCGGAUAGGAAUCCUUGCUGCAUGGUGGGGGUUGGAAAGCUUCGGCGGUUUUGGAUGGACUCGCGGCUUAUCAGCUUGUUGGUGGGGUAGUGGCUUACCAAGGCUUUGACGGGUAGCCGGCCUGAGAGGGCGACCGGCCACAGUGGGACUGAGAUACGGCCCAGACUCCUACGGGAGGCAGCAGGGGGGAAUAUUGCACAAUGGGCGGAAGCCUGAUGCAGCAACGCCGCGGGCGGGAUGACGGCCUUCGGGUUGUAAACCGCUUUCAGCAGGGGCGAAGCUUGUGGUGACGGUACCUGCAGAAGAAGCACCGGCUAACUACGUG
This 465-nucleotide ribosomal RNA is filed under the name uncultured bacterium. RNAcentral describes it as "partial 16S ribosomal RNA". It matches the Rfam family "Bacterial small subunit ribosomal RNA", at positions 28 to 507 of the family's 1533-position model. The record is from RNAcentral.